Molecule: long non-coding RNA, 1386 nt
Filed under: Heterocephalus glaber (naked mole-rat)
Lineage: Eukaryota; Metazoa; Chordata; Mammalia; Rodentia; Bathyergidae
Description: lncRNA (ENSHGLG00000049100.1)
Source: RNAcentral
GCGCGAUCCCUGUGUUCACGGAGCACACACCCGUGUGCCAGACUCCAGUUGCGUCGGGGACACGGGACGCAUGCAGGUGACAGCGCUGCGAUGUCUUCCAGCUGCACAAGCACGGACUAGCUAGGCCCACCUCCAAGGAGCCUAUGGACCCUGAGCGCAUCAGUGGGCUGGGCCUCGGAGAAGUGAGCACCCUCAGAGCCCCGUCUCCUCGCAGGCCUCGAAACCCCGUCCAGGUGACGCUCAAGGUCAGCUGUCACUUACUCUUGGCUGGAAACUAUGCAGCCUUGAGGGGUGGUUGCAUCUCGGUCAGCUGUUGCUGCUGUAACAAAGAGGGCUGGCAGCCAAUAACCCACACAGACUGCUUCCCCAGUCCUGGAGGCUUCGAGCCCGAGAUGAGGGUGCGGCUCGGACAGUGUCUGGGGAGGGCCUGCCGGGUGGCACAUGGUACCGUCCAGCCGUGCCCUCACCUGGUGAAGGGCACAGGGAGCUGCCGGGGCCUUUAUGAGGACCCUAACCCUAUGCAGGAAGUCCCGCCUUCAGGACCAACGCUCCGCUGGGAUCCAGUGUGGCCCAAGAACCCCAUCGCUCUGCCGUGUUGCUCAGGAAAUCUGACCGAACAAAAGGCCUGCUCCAUGCCCCUGCCAUGAAGAUUCCAGUUUUGGGGGCCACUUUCAGUCCCCAGUGGGUGGGCACUGAGGCUGCAGAACCCCAGGACUCGGAGGCUGGCUGUGUCCACAGAACGGCGGCAGGCUGGCCUCCAGGGGGAGCACAAGGCAAGCUGAGGUGGGCACGCGCUGCCUGCCGGGAAAGAGACCCAUGGCACAGGUGGCGUCCAGAGAAGGGCAUGGGGAGCCCCUGGUUUACAGGGAACAGGAGCCGCGGAGGACACUGACACUCCACCGGGCUUCCAGUCAGAGCUGCAGCCAGGUGGAAAUCAGGUGGGAUGUCCUUGAGUGCCAAGAAACCACAUCCCAUCUGGAGAACCUGGCACCAGCCGGGAGGUGACGCUGGAGAAAGGAUGAGUCCCUGAAUUUCAUUUAUGUUUCACAGGCCCUGGAAUAUAGAAGAACAAAAUGAAGAAGCCAGGUGUGGUGGUGUACACCUGUCAUUCCAGCACUUGGGAGGCUGAGGCAGGAGGAUUGCCUCAAGUUCAGGGCCAGCUUGGGCUACAUAGCGAGUUCAAGGUGCGCACACACACACCAACUAAAUUUUUUAAGUGAGAUAAUGGGAGUCACGUGGCAGGACAGAGGAGGGAGCAGGCCCUGGUGUCGCUAUGACCUCUAACUUCCUCUUCAGAUUCAGUCUCCCUUGCAAGGGCCUGGAAUGACUCUUGGUGUCAUCUCCACGGUGUCGGUGUCGGCUUCCCCCAGGCACUAUGCAAGCCCC